UACAGUCCAAGCUAGCUGCCUUCAGGUCUCGAUCGACUUCUGGAAUAAAUUUGCAAUAUCUCCAUCGUAUUGCUCACUUCUCAUCGCAACAUUAAACAAUGCCUCAUCACAAAUAUCUGGCCGUCGGCUCGCAGGACUUUGAAGAUUUAUCUCCUGAAGGCGCGGCCUCAGUUUUAUUGAAUUUUAGAAGUGCCGCUACACGCAACAUUGUCCAGCCAACGCAGGCACCCGAGGGCGCCAGC
Molecule: long non-coding RNA, 242 nt
Organism: Hyalella azteca
Lineage: Eukaryota; Metazoa; Arthropoda; Malacostraca; Amphipoda; Hyalellidae
Exons: 3
Source: RefSeq, a predicted model, not a curated record